This 280-nucleotide long non-coding RNA is filed under the name Trifolium pratense (red clover). RNAcentral describes it as "long non-coding RNA (TPRA_LNC014208)". The record is from RNAcentral. Lineage: Eukaryota; Viridiplantae; Streptophyta; Magnoliopsida; Fabales; Fabaceae.
UUAUACACUAUAAAGAGAUUAAAUCAUAUUCUAUUUUUUACAUGCAAAGAGGGAAAAAAAUAUGGCUGAGAUUCACAAGUUUAUUUAUGUUGUGAUUCUAUUUCUUUCUUUAUUUCUUGUCACAGCGGAAUUUGAUGUUGGUAAGCCAUUGUUUCAUCCUUCUGAAAUUUCCUUAUUUACUUCGUAGUUCGUGCACAAUCUUUUAUCAUGUUCAGUUUUACUAAAAUAUUAUGUAUUGUCUUUUUUCAUUACACAGAUUAUUUUGAACCACCUUGUCAAA